RNAcentral lists this ribosomal RNA (276 nucleotides) under uncultured prokaryote. RNAcentral describes it as "partial 16S ribosomal RNA". It matches the Rfam family "Bacterial small subunit ribosomal RNA", at positions 524 to 798 of the family's 1533-position model. The record is from RNAcentral.
AACGUAGGUGGCAGGCGUUGUCCGGAAUUACUGGGGUGUAAAGGGAGCGCAGGUGGUUGAUUAAGUCUGAUGUGAAAGCCCACGGCUUAACCGUGGAGGGUCAUUGGAAACUGGUCGACUUGAGUGCAGAAGAGGGAAGUGGAAUUCCAUGUGUAGCGGUGAAAUGCGUAGAGAUAUGGAGGAACACCAGUGGCGAAGGCGGCUUCCUGGUCUGUAACUGACACUGAGGCGCGAAAGCGUGGGGAGCAAACAGGAUUAGAUACCCGGGUAGUCCCU